CCUUUUCUGAAUAUUGUUUCAAGAUUGAGAAGAAAAAAAAACUCCCACACUAUAACUGGUAAUUAACACGUUUCACAAUUCUCUCAAAAAGAAAAUAUACAAACAAAUGAGAGCUAAAGUAGUAAUUUAUUCAGCCUGUUGUUUUGUUUGUUUUUCAAAUCUCCUUUACUUUUGCUUCUCAUUGACUAUCAAACGAUGGGAAGGACAACUAAGUUUUACCUUUUUUCUUUAGCCUUUCGGUCCGUCCUUUAUGAAAAUCUCAAUCGGAACCUCUAAACAAGAAAAGGUUAAAUCACCAACAUCGUUUCCUUUACUUCACUCCACUCCCAAACAUGGUGUAGAUUUUCUCG
RNAcentral lists this long non-coding RNA (350 nucleotides) under Actinidia chinensis (golden kiwifruit). Its description in RNAcentral is "long non-coding RNA (ACHI_LNC001493)". Lineage: Eukaryota; Viridiplantae; Streptophyta; Magnoliopsida; Ericales; Actinidiaceae. The record is from RNAcentral.